UAAAGAGAGGGGUUUGGGCCCUAAGGAGAAGGGUUUCGGGCCUAUAGACAAAGGUUUGGGCCCUAAAGAGAAGUGUUUGGGCCCUAAAGAGAAGGGUUUGGGGCCUAAAGAGAGGGGUUUGGGGCCUAAAGAGAAGGGUUUGGGGCCUAAAGAGAGGGGUUUGGGGCCUAAAGAGAGGGGUUUGGGCCCUAAAGAGAAGGGUUUGGGCCCUAAAGAGAAGGGUUUGGGCCCUAAAGAGAGGGGUUUGGGCCCUAAAUAGGGGUUUGGGGCCUAAAGAGAAGGGUUUGGGCCCUAAAUAGGGGUUUGGGCCCUAAAGAGAGGGGUUUGGGCCCUAAAGAGAAGGGGUUUGGGUCAUAAAGAGAGGGGUUUGGGCCCUAAAGAGAGGGGUUUGGGCCCUAAAGAGAAGGGGUUUGGGCCCUAAAGAGAGGGGUUUGGGCCCUAAGAGAGGGGUUUGGGCCCUAAAGAGAAGGGUUUGAGGCCUAAAGAGAAGGGUUUGAGGCCUAAAGAGAAGGGUUUGAGGCCUAAAGAGGAGGGUUUGGGGCCUAAAGAGAGGGGUUUGGUCCCUAAAGAGAAGGGUUUGGGUCAUAAAGAGAGGGGUUUGGGCCCUAAAGAGAAGGGUUUGGGGCCUAAAGAGAGGGGUUUGGGCCCAUAAAGAGAGGGCUUUGGGGCCUAAAGAGAGGGCUUUGGGGCCUAAAGAGAAGGGAUUGGGCCCUAAAGAGGAGGGUUUCGGGCCUAAAGAGAGGGGUUUGGGCCCUAAAGAGAAGGGUUUGGGCCCUAAAUAGGGGUUUGGGGCCUAAAGAGAAGGGAUUGGGACCUAAAGAGAAGGGAUUGGGCCCUAAAGAGAGGGGUUUGGGCCCUAAAGAGAAGGGUUUGAGGCCUAAAGAGAAGGGUUUGGGGCCUAAAGAGGAGGGUUUGGGGCCUAAAGAGAGGGGUUUGGGGCCUAAAGAGAAGGGUUUGGGUCAUAAAGAGGAGGGUUUGGGCCCUAAAGAGAGGGGUUUGGGCCCUAAAGAGAAGGGUUUGGACGCUAAAGAGAGGGGUUUGGGCCCUAAAGAGGAGGGUUUGGGGCCUAAAGAGAGGGGUUUGGGCCCAUAAAGAGAGGGGUUUGGGGCCUAAAGAGAAGGGUUUGGGGCCUAAAGAGAAGGGUUUGGGCCCUAAAGAGAGGGGUUUGGGCCCUAAAGAGAGGGGUUUGGGCCCUAAAGAGAAGGGUUUGGGGCCUAAAGAGAAGGGUUUGGGGCGUAAAGAGAGGGGUCUGUGCCCUAAAGAGAAGGGUUUGGGGCCCAAAAAGACGGGUUUGGGCCCCAAAAGAGAAGGGUUUGGGCCCUAAAGAGAGGGGUUUGGGCCCUAAAGAGAAGGGUUUGGGCCCUAAAGAGAAGGGAUUGGGCCCUAAAGAGAAGGGUUUGAGGCCUAAAGAGAAGGGAUUGGGACCUAAAGAGAAGGGAUUGGGCCCUAAAGAGGAGGGUUUGGGCCCUAAAGAGAGGGGUUUGAGGCCUAAAGAGAAGGGUUUGGGGCCUAAAGAGAAGGGUUUGGACCCUAA
Cygnus olor (mute swan) is the source of this 1534-nucleotide long non-coding RNA. RefSeq lists it as uncharacterized. The transcript is spliced from 8 exons. The record is from RefSeq and is a predicted model, not a curated record. Lineage: Eukaryota; Metazoa; Chordata; Aves; Anseriformes; Anatidae.